GGUAGGAUUACCCGCUGAACUUAAGCAUAUCAAUAAGCGGAGGA
This 44-nucleotide ribosomal RNA is filed under the name Amanita sabulosa. RNAcentral's name for it is "partial 26S ribosomal RNA". Lineage: Eukaryota; Fungi; Basidiomycota; Agaricomycetes; Agaricales; Amanitaceae. The record is from RNAcentral.